This 492-nucleotide ribosomal RNA is filed under the name uncultured bacterium. Its description in RNAcentral is "partial 16S ribosomal RNA". It matches the Rfam family "Bacterial small subunit ribosomal RNA", at positions 29 to 507 of the family's 1533-position model. The record is from RNAcentral.
AGUGAACGCUGGCGGUAGGCCUAACACAUGCAAGUCGAACGGCAGCACAGUAAGAGCUUGCUCUUACGGGUGGCGAGUGGCGGACGGGUGAGGAAUACAUCGGAAUCUACUUUUUCGUGGGGGAUAACGUAGGGAAACUUACGCUAAUACCGCAUACGACCUACGGGUGAAAGCAGGGGAUCUUCGGACCUUGCGCGAUUGAAUGAGCCGAUGUCGGAUUAGCUAGUUGGCCGGGUAAAGGCCCACCAAGGCGACGAUCCGUAGCUGGGCUGAGAGGAUGAUCCGCCACACUGGAACUGAGACAAGGUCCAGACUCCUACGGGAGGCAGCAGUGGGGAAUAUUGGACAAUGGGCGCAAGCCUGAUCCAGCCAUACCGCGUGGGUGAAGAAGGCCUUCGGGUUGUAAAGCCCUUUUGUUGGGAAAGAAAAGCAGCAGGUUAAUACCCCGCUGUUCUGACGGUACCCAAAGAAUAAGCACCGGCUAACUUCGUG